GUUGACCAAAAGUGGAAUGUUUAAUACUCCACAGAAAAAAAAAAAAAGAACCAUGGAAUUCUGAGUCCCACCUGUUAAAUUAUUUGUCCUUCUAAUAGAAGCAGGAAUGAAAGGCGUAUGUUCAACAUCAUUUUGGACCCAUUUUCUGUGGCGGGAAACCAAGGUCCUGCACUAGGCAUUGCAGAUAUGAAGAUGAACUGGAUACAGAGCCCGAUUUCAGGGAGUCACAAGAGUGUGUGCUUAGUGCUGUGAGAGAGAACUUCCCCCUAGACAAAGGACAUCUAGACCAGCCUGGAGGGAGCAGACCCUGUUAAUAUCUCUGAGCUCAUUGCUUUUCUGGAAGAACAUGUUCCGAGUUCCAAUUUGGGAUGAUUCAAAACCUACGUCUGCCCCAGGCUUGAGGCGCCUGGGAUGGGUCACACCCUUUGCCUCCUCUCUCUGGAUGGCAUUUCUAAGUCACACCAGAGAAAGAAGAAAUAAAAGAGCCCUUCUUUAUAUAAAAUUGGAUUUUAACAUUCUCCAAAGUGGUGGCAGCCCCUGGAUUGCAAAUGAAAAGCACCCAGUUUUCCCAGAGAAUAAUCUGGAAGAGGGAAGUGGAGGUGAAUGGCCUCCUUCUGUAAUGGUAAGAACUUCUCCCCAGCCACCUCCAGAAGACAGAGAGAGGCAUCUGGGGGUCGGGGAUGUGAGUUGGCAAGAAGCUGGGAGACGUGACAGCCAGAGAGAUUGGGAGCGGAGACGUGCACCGCCCGGCGCCCUUCACUCAUGUCCUCCCUGGCCUGGGGCUCGGCAAGGCUCCUGCUGUUCCUUCCAUCUUCUCCAAGUGCUGAGAAUGAGGCGAAAGAGGAAGCAAUAGGGUAAAAAGAUACUGAGGACCUCCAAACUCAGAAGUGUUUGUUGAUUGAUUCAUUCAUCAUUCAGAAAGAGCGAGUACCUACUGCACGUCAAACCCACAGCCAAGGCUGGAGGUGCAGAGAUAAAUGAUUCACAGUUGGUGUCUCCAAGAAGCUCCCAGUCUAAGGACCCAAGAAGAAGCUGCAUCUCGCCAAGAGUCUUGGAAUUCUGGCUACAUUCGUAUUUGGGCUUCCUUACUCAUUGUUGAUUUACUGCAUCAAUCUUUUCCAAUGGAUUGGGAGCAUCAAUAUUUUGUAAGAUGAUAGAAAUUGAUAUAACCUGUGUAACCGAGAGGAUUGAAUUAGGUAGAAUCUCUGCCUCAGGGCGGGGCCUGGAGUGAGCCAAGCAAGAUGCUUAUGAGACAAAAUCUAUGGAGGUGUCAUUUUUAAGGUCAUGCUAGUGCAGGGUCUGCCUAAUAUUGGGUUGACAGACUUUGUGCAAGUCAUUUAAACUCCAUGAACUUCAGCUUCCCAUCUGUAAAUCAGGGACAUGCCUACUCAUGGAGCUGUUGAAAAAUUAAUAAUAUAAUGCUUGCAAAAGUGCGUUAUAAACUAUAAAUGGCAUAUAAACACGUGUUGGUUUUAUCAAUAGUAGUAAUAAUAAUUAUUUAUGAUCUUUUUCAUUAAUUCAUCAAUGACAUUAAAAAUAACCAUAACCAAAACAUUCUUUGUGGCAAAUGCAACACAUUAUACUGGAAAAUGGAAUAGAGAAACGGAAGGAUCUGGUAUGCUUUGUAAGAGGCGGUAGUUAAGUAAUGAAAGAUUUUGAGCUGUGAACUCAGACAGACUUGGAUUUUAAUCCCAGCUCUAUCACUUACAAAUGUUUAACCUAAACUCUGAAGUCUCCAUUUCCUCAUUUGUGAAAGGGGAAUAAUAAUAAUGGACUCAUAGGGUUGUUACUGAGGAUUAAAUGAGAUAAUGUGUGUAAUACUCAGCAUUUUGCAGGCCCGUAGAGAGCACUACAUAGAUGUGAGCUACUAUCGUUGUGUGGGGACCCCAGCACAACCAAUUCCUCCUACAGGCCAGAAUGUCUUCUGAGAUACUAAGCUUUUUCCAGUUUCCUUAGCUGAGGUCAUAUUACACAAUGCUAAGUCGCAAAGAUGCUUUUCCUACAGGCUUGAUUUUAGGAAUAAUUAUACUAAAUGUUGUUCCUUCUUUCCUAAGUUUCUCCAGAAUUAUAGCUGUGGUGUAAGUACCCAAGAGU
RNAcentral lists this long non-coding RNA (2094 nucleotides) under Equus caballus (horse). RNAcentral's name for it is "lncRNA (ENSECAG00000040079.3)". The record is from RNAcentral. Lineage: Eukaryota; Metazoa; Chordata; Mammalia; Perissodactyla; Equidae.